ACGGCUCAGUAACACGUAGUCAACAUGCCCAGGGGACGUGGAUAACCUCGGGAAACUGAGGAUAAACCACGAUAAGUCACUGCUUCUGGAGUGGGUAAUGACUCAAAUCUACAUGGCCCCUGGAUUGGACUGCGGCCGAUCAGGCUGUUGGUGAGGUAAUGGCCCACCAAACCUGUAACCGGUACGGGCUCUGAGAGGAGGAGCCCGGAGAUGGGCACUGAGACAAGGGCCCAGGCCCUAUGGGGCGCAGCAGGCGCGAAACCUCUGCAAUAGGCGAAAGCCUGACAGGGUUACUCUGAGUGAUUUCCGUUAAGGAGAUCUUUUGGCACCUCUAAAAAUGGUGCAGAAUAAGGGGUGGGCAAGUCUGGUGUCAGCCGCCGCGGUAAUACCAGCACCCCGAGUGGUCGGGACGUUUAUUGGGCCUAAAGCAUCCGUAGCCGGUUCUACAAGUCUUCCGUUAAAUCCACCUGCUUAACAGAUGGGCUGCGGAAGAUACUAUAGAGCUAGGAGGCGGGAGAGGCAAGCGGUACUCGAUGGGUAGGGGUAAAAUCCGUUGAUCCAUUGAAGACCACCAGUGGCGAAGGCGGCUUGCCAGAACGCGCUCGACGGUGAGGGAUGAAAGCUGGGGGAGCAAACCGGAUUAGAUACCCGGGUAGUCCCAGCUGUAAACGAUGCAGACUCGGUGAUGAGUUGGCUUUAUGCCAACUCAGUGCCGCAGGGAAGCCGUUAAGUUUGCCGCCUGGGGAGUACGGUCGCAAGACUGAAACUUAAAGGAAUUGGCGGGGGAGCAC
This 791-nucleotide ribosomal RNA is filed under the name uncultured archaeon. RNAcentral describes it as "bacterial SSU rRNA". It matches the Rfam family "Archaeal small subunit ribosomal RNA", at positions 85 to 879 of the family's 1478-position model. The record is from RNAcentral.